ACAGGUAAAAAAGCGUUUAAGCAGAUAUAAAGCGUUUAAGAAACAUAUAAAGAAGGUGUUUAAGAAACAGGUAAAAGGUGUUUAAGAAACAUAUCUGUUUCUUAAACAUAUCUUUUUGUUUUCUUUUGUUUUCUUUUAUCUGUCCCGAGGAAGGUUUUUACCGAUUUACUCCUGAGGGCUUGUAGCUCAGUUGGUUAGAGCGCGCGCUUGAUAAGCGUGAGGUCGGAGGUUCAAGUCCUCCCAGGCCCACCAAUUUAUGAUUGCUGAUAAAUUUGCUGAUAAGUUUUUUGUGAAUGUUUUGAUGGUCUUUUAUCUUACGAUCUUUCACUUUUAUGUUGCAAUCUUUCAAAAGUAUUUGAACUGUUUUAGGGGCC
Molecule: unclassified non-coding RNA, 374 nt
Filed under: uncultured Bartonella sp.
Lineage: Bacteria; Pseudomonadati; Pseudomonadota; Alphaproteobacteria; Hyphomicrobiales; Bartonellaceae
Description: partial 16S-23S ribosomal RNA intergenic spacer
Rfam family: tRNA (bases 176-249)
Source: RNAcentral